GACGAACGCUGGCGGCGUGCUUAACACAUGCAAGUCGAACGAAGAGCGAUGGAAGCUUGCUUCUAUCAAUCUUAGUGGCGAACGGGUGAGUAACGCGUAAUCAACCUGCCCUUCAGAGGGGGACAACAGUUGGAAACGACUGCUAAUACCGCAUACGAUCUAAUCUCGGCAUCGAGGAUAGAUGAAAGGUGGCCUCUACAUGUAAGCUAUCACUGAAGGAGGGGAUUGCGUCUGAUUAGCUAGUUGGAGGGGUAACGGCCCACCAAGGCGAUGAUCAGUAGCCGGUCUGAGAGGAUGAACGGCCACAUUGGGACUGAGACACGGCCCAGACUCCUACGGGAGGUAGCAGUGGGGAAUCUUCCGCAAUGGACGAAAGUCUGACGGAGCAACGCCGCGUGAGUGAUGACGGCCUUCGGGUUGUAAAGCUCUGUUAAUCGGGACGAAAGGCCUUCUUGCGAAUAGGGAGAAGGAUUGACGGUACCGGAAUAGAAAGCCACGGCUAACUACGUG
Molecule: ribosomal RNA, 510 nt
Filed under: uncultured bacterium
Lineage: Bacteria
Description: partial 16S ribosomal RNA
Rfam family: Bacterial small subunit ribosomal RNA
Source: RNAcentral